CCUACGGGAGGCAGCAGUCGAGAAUUUUUCACAAUGGGGGCAACCCUGAUGGAGCGACGCCGCGUGGAGGAUGAAGGCUUUCGGGUUGUAAACUCCUGUCAUUUGGGAACAAGGUGCAUCGAUUAACUGUCGAUGCAUUGAUAGUACCAGAAGAGGAAGAGACGGCUAACUCUGUGCCAGCAGCCGCGGUAAUACAGAGGUCUCAAGCGUUGUCCGGAUUUACUGGGCGUACAGCGCGCGCAGGCGGGUGGUGACGUGCCGUGUGACAAGCCGCAGCUUAACUGCGGAGGGCCAUGGUAGACGCACCGCCUGGAGGCAGGGAGAGGGAUGUGGAAUACCCGGUGGAGCGGUGAAAUGCGUAGAGAUCGGGUGGAACACCAGCGGCGAAGGCGGCAUCCUGGUCCUGACCUGACGCUGAGGCGCGAGAGCGUGGGGAGCGA
This 440-nucleotide ribosomal RNA is filed under the name uncultured bacterium. RNAcentral's name for it is "partial 16S ribosomal RNA". It matches the Rfam family "Bacterial small subunit ribosomal RNA", at positions 338 to 771 of the family's 1533-position model. The record is from RNAcentral.